This 2902-nucleotide ribosomal RNA is filed under the name Escherichia coli. RNAcentral describes it as "bacterial LSU rRNA". It matches the Rfam family "Bacterial large subunit ribosomal RNA". The record is from RNAcentral. Lineage: Bacteria; Pseudomonadati; Pseudomonadota; Gammaproteobacteria; Enterobacterales; Enterobacteriaceae.
UUAAGCGACUAAGCGUACACGGUGGAUGCCCUGGCAGUCAGAGGCGAUGAAGGACGUGCUAAUCUGCGAUAAGCGUCGGUAAGGUGAUAUGAACCGUUAUAACCGGCGAUUUCCGAAUGGGGAAACCCAGUGUGAUUCGUCACACUAUCAUUAACUGAAUCCAUAGGUUAAUGAGGCGAACCGGGGGAACUGAAACAUCUAAGUACCCCGAGGAAAAGAAAUCAACCGAGAUUCCCCCAGUAGCGGCGAGCGAACGGGGAGGAGCCCAGAGCCUGAAUCAGUGUGUGUGUUAGUGGAAGCGUCUGGAAAGGCGCGCGAUACAGGGUGACAGCCCCGUACACAAAAAUGCACAUAUUGUGAGCUCGAUGAGUAGGGCGGGACACGUGGUAUCCUGUCUGAAUAUGGGGGGACCAUCCUCCAAGGCUAAAUACUCCUGACUGACCGAUAGUGAACCAGUACCGUGAGGGAAAGGCGAAAAGAACCCCGGCGAGGGGAGUGAAAAAGAACCUGAAACCGUGUACGUACAAGCAGUGGGAGCACGCUUAGGCGUGUGACUGCGUACCUUUUGUAUAAUGGGUCAGCGACUUAUAUUCUGUAGCAAGGUUAACCGAAUAGGGGAGCCGGAGGGAAACCGAGUCUUAACUGGGCGUUAAGUUGCAGGGUAUAGACCCGAAACCCGGUGAUCUAGCCAUGGGCAGGUUGAAGGUUGGGUAACACUAACUGGAGGACCGAACCGACUAAUGUUGAAAAAUUAGCGGAUGACUUGUGGCUGGGGGUGAAAGGCCAAUCAAACCGGGAGAUAGCUGGUUCUCCCCGAAAGCUAUUUAGGUAGCGCCUCGUGAAUUCAUCUCCGGGGGUAGAGCACUGUUUCGGCAAGGGGGUCAUCCCGACUUACCAACCCGAUGCAAACUGCGAAUACCGGAGAAUGUUAUCACGGGAGACACACGGCGGGUGCUAACGUCCGUCGUGAAGAGGGAAACAACCCAGACCGCCAGCUAAGGUCCCAAAGUCAUGGUUAAGUGGGAAACGAUGUGGGAAGGCCCAGACAGCCAGGAUGUUGGCUUAGAAGCAGCCAUCAUUUAAAGAAAGCGUAAUAGCUCACUGGUCGAGUCGGCCUGCGCGGAAGAUGUAACGGGGCUAAACCAUGCACCGAAGCUGCGGCAGCGACGCUGAUGCGUUGUUGGGUAGGGGAGCGUUCUGUAAGCCUGCGAAGGUGUGCUGUGAGGCAUGCUGGAGGUAUCAGAAGUGCGAAUGCUGACAUAAGUAACGAUAAAGCGGGUGAAAAGCCCGCUCGCCGGAAGACCAAGGGUUCCUGUCCAACGUUAAUCGGGGCAGGGUGAGUCGACCCCUAAGGCGAGGCCGAAAGGCGUAGUCGAUGGGAAACAGGUUAAUAUUCCUGUACUUGGUGUUACUGCGAAGGGGGGACGGAGAAGGCUAUGUUGGCCGGGCGACGGUUGUCCCGGUUUAAGCGUGUAGGCUGGUUUUCCAGGCAAAUCCGGAAAAUCAAGGCUGAGGCGUGAUGACGAGGCACUACGGUGCUGAAGCAACAAAUGCCCUGCUUCCAGGAAAAGCCUCUAAGCAUCAGGUAACAUCAAAUCGUACCCCAAACCGACACAGGUGGUCAGGUAGAGAAUACCAAGGCGCUUGAGAGAACUCGGGUGAAGGAACUAGGCAAAAUGGUGCCGUAACUUCGGGAGAAGGCACGCUGAUAUGUAGGUGAAGCGACUUGCUCGUGGAGCUGAAAUCAGUCGAAGAUACCAGCUGGCUGCAACUGUUUAUUAAAAACACAGCACUGUGCAAACACGAAAGUGGACGUAUACGGUGUGACGCCUGCCCGGUGCCGGAAGGUUAAUUGAUGGGGUUAGCGCAAGCGAAGCUCUUGAUCGAAGCCCCGGUAAACGGCGGCCGUAACUAUAACGGUCCUAAGGUAGCGAAAUUCCUUGUCGGGUAAGUUCCGACCUGCACGAAUGGCGUAAUGAUGGCCAGGCUGUCUCCACCCGAGACUCAGUGAAAUUGAACUCGCUGUGAAGAUGCAGUGUACCCGCGGCAAGACGGAAAGACCCCGUGAACCUUUACUAUAGCUUGACACUGAACAUUGAGCCUUGAUGUGUAGGAUAGGUGGGAGGCUUUGAAGUGUGGACGCCAGUCUGCAUGGAGCCGACCUUGAAAUACCACCCUUUAAUGUUUGAUGUUCUAACGUUGACCCGUGAUCCGGGUUGCGGACAGUGUCUGGUGGGUAGUUUGACUGGGGCGGUCUCCUCCUAAAGAGUAACGGAGGAGCACGAAGGUUGGCUAAUCCUGGUCGGACAUCAGGAGGUUAGUGCAAUGGCAUAAGCCAGCUUGACUGCGAGCGUGACGGCGCGAGCAGGUGCGAAAGCAGGUCAUAGUGAUCCGGUGGUUCUGAAUGGAAGGGCCAUCGCUCAACGGAUAAAAGGUACUCCGGGGAUAACAGGCUGAUACCGCCCAAGAGUUCAUAUCGACGGCGGUGUUUGGCACCUCGAUGUCGGCUCAUCACAUCCUGGGGCUGAAGUAGGUCCCAAGGGUAUGGCUGUUCGCCAUUUAAAGUGGUACGCGAGCUGGGUUUAGAACGUCGUGAGACAGUUCGGUCCCUAUCUGCCGUGGGCGCUGGAGAACUGAGGGGGGCUGCUCCUAGUACGAGAGGACCGGAGUGGACGCAUCACUGGUGUUCGGGUUGUCAUGCCAAUGGCACUGCCCGGUAGCUAAAUGCGGAAGAGAUAAGUGCUGAAAGCAUCUAAGCACGAAACUUGCCCCGAGAUGAGUUCUCCCUGACUCCUUGAGAGUCCUGAAGGAACGUUGAAGACGACGACGUUGAUAGGCCGGGUGUGUAAGCGCAGCGAUGCGUUGAGCUAACCGGUACUAAUGAACCGUGAGGCUUAACCUU